Molecule: ribosomal RNA, 195 nt
Filed under: Pseudomonas sp. URMO17WK12:I7
Lineage: Bacteria; Pseudomonadati; Pseudomonadota; Gammaproteobacteria; Pseudomonadales; Pseudomonadaceae
Source: RNAcentral
CGAAAGUUCGCAACGAACCACAACAUCACAUAUCCGGAUUCGCUGGGCUGUCCAUCUGGACAUUCUGGCUACAGAAUUUCUUGACGACCAUAGAGCAUUGGAACCACCUGAUCCCAUCCCGAACUCAGCAGUGAAACGAUGCAUCGCCGAUGGUAGUGUGGGGUUUCCCCAUGUGAGAGUAGGUCAUCGUCAAGA